This 253-nucleotide ribosomal RNA is filed under the name uncultured bacterium. RNAcentral describes it as "partial 16S ribosomal RNA". It matches the Rfam family "Bacterial small subunit ribosomal RNA", at positions 524 to 776 of the family's 1533-position model. The record is from RNAcentral.
UACAGAGGGUGCAAGCGUUAAUCGGAAUUACUGGGCGUAAAGCGCACGCAGGCGGUUGGUUAAGUCAGAUGUGAAAGCCCCGGGCUCAACCUGGGAAUUGCAUUUGAAACUGGCCAACUAGAGUACGUGAGAGGGGGGUAGAAUUCCAAGUGUAGCGGUGAAAUGCGUAGAGAUUUGGAGGAAUACCAGUGGCGAAGGGGGCCCCCUGGCACGAUACUGACGCUCAGGUGCGAAAGCGUGGGGAGCAAACAGG